RNAcentral lists this unclassified non-coding RNA (214 nucleotides) under Hevea brasiliensis (rubber tree). The record is from RNAcentral. Lineage: Eukaryota; Viridiplantae; Streptophyta; Magnoliopsida; Malpighiales; Euphorbiaceae.
AAAAGGUGGAAAGCAAAAGGAAAAAAGCUCUCUGUUCUUUAAUCGGGCAACGCGAAGAAACCCAUUUGUGUUUUGCCUUUGGCUUCACGGUUUUCACACUCUCUUCUCGAACUCUCUUCCACAAGGAAGGAAACAAAUCCUCCCUUUACAUUCAGGAAGGGAGUAACAGAAGAGGGUUGUUAUUGAACACAAUCAUGGCUGCAAGUACUAAAGA